AUGCUCACGUCGCCGGCGGCAGAUAGACUGAGACUGGAAAGGUACUGAGGCGAUUCGCCUGGCUCCCACACAAGGAUGACAUGCAAAUUUGUGACACGGUCUAGAUUCUC
Molecule: small nuclear RNA, 110 nt
Filed under: Echinops telfairi (small Madagascar hedgehog)
Lineage: Eukaryota; Metazoa; Chordata; Mammalia; Afrosoricida; Tenrecidae
Source: RNAcentral